GAUGAACGCUGGCGGCGUGCUUAACACAUGCAAGUCGAACGAUGAAGCCCAGCUUGCUGGGUGGAUUAGUGGCGAACGGGUGAGUAACACGUGAGUAACCUGCCCUUAACUCUGGGAUAAGCCUGGGAAACUGGGUCUAAUACCGGAUAGGAGCGUCCACCGCAUGGUGGGUGUUGGAAAGAUUUAUCGGUUUUGGAUGGACUCGCGGCCUAUCAGCUUGUUGGUGAGGUAAUGGCUCACCAAGGCGACGACGGGUAGCCGGCCUGAGAGGGUGACCGGCCACACUGGGACUGAGACACGGCCCAGACUCCUACGGGAGGCAGAAGUGGGGAAUAUUGCACAAUGGGCGGAAGCCUGAUGCAGCGACGCCGCGUGAGGGAUGACGGCCUUCGGGUUGUAAACCUCUUUCAGUAGGGAAGAAGUGGAAGUGACGGUACCUGCAGAAGAAGCACCGGCUAACUACGUG
Molecule: ribosomal RNA, 466 nt
Filed under: uncultured bacterium
Lineage: Bacteria
Description: partial 16S ribosomal RNA
Rfam family: Bacterial small subunit ribosomal RNA
Source: RNAcentral